UAAAAUUACAACACAAAGAAAGCGGAAGGUAACUUCCUGCGACACUGGCGCAAUCCCGGAAGUGGAACAUCAAGGAUAUAGACUAUUUGAGUAGUAACAAUGUAAUCUCUUUAUGUUUAAAGUAAUAUAUCCAGUAAGAAUAUUGCAAACAAGAGUAAUUGAUGAGAACAUGGGGGCGUGUGCGAUCACGGAAGGCGUAUCAUGUGAAUGCCCCGACGGUGUUGUUGUCAUUACUAAGAAUUCCUCAUGGGGGAGACAAACUACGCACUGUAGCUUUAAGGUCAUCAUAUUGACUUACAACACAAUGCAAUGUUACCCAUUAGCUUUACAUUUGCUACAAGUUCUUCUUAAUUUCCCACUUAUUACUUCACAUCACAUGUUUAUACAACACCAGAUGGAUAUUCAAGUGUAUCUUCUUAUCACCUUAAGUAAGUAUGUCAUGAUCUAAAACCUGCUGUAUGUCUCAAAGCGCAACCAUAGUAACAACUGACUUGGGAAUUUUAAGCACGCUUUUAUAUCUGUAUUCUUCUGUGGCAUGUCUCAAUUGAUUUGUAAGUAUGUAUUUUUCUGCUGCAAGUCAACUGUUUUGUUCAAAUGUGUAUUACUGUAAUUUUUGUGCAGGGUACUUAAUGGAGUGUUAACUUUAAUUGAAUACUGUAUAUUUUGGUGGCCUUGCGUACUAAGAUGUUUUAUCGAAAUGUAUACAGUAAUGUAAUGAUGUGGAAACUACAUACUGUAUGUAGAUAUUUAUUAAAUGAUGUCACCCUAUUUAUAUCAUUUCUGUGACUGUUUAUAUAAAAUGAUAUGUUGGAUAAACAGAACUUUGUGUUUGGAAAGU
Sander lucioperca (pikeperch) is the source of this 838-nucleotide long non-coding RNA. RefSeq lists it as uncharacterized. The transcript has 2 exons. The record is from RefSeq and is a predicted model, not a curated record. NCBI's taxonomy places the organism in Eukaryota, Metazoa, Chordata, Actinopteri, Perciformes, Percidae.